GACGAACGCUGGCGGCGUGCCUAAUACAUGCAAGUUGAGCGCUUAAGGUUGGUACUUGUACCAACUGGAUGAGCAGCGCACGGGUGAGUAACGCGUGGGGAAUCUGCCUUUGAGCGGGGGACAACAUUUGGAAACGAAUGCUAAUACCGCAUAAAAACUUUAAACACAAUUUUUAAGUUUGAAAGAUGCCAUUGCAUCACUCAAAGAUGAUCCCGCGUUGUAUUAGCUAGUUGGUGAGGUAAAGGCUCACCAAGGCGAUGAUAAAUAGCCGACCUGAGAUGGUGAUCGGCCACAUUGGGACUGAGACACGGCCCAAGCGGCUACGGAAAGCAGCAGUAGGGAAACGUCGGCAAUGGACGAAAGACUGACCGAGAAACGCAGCGUGAGUGAAGAAGGUUGUCGGAUCGUAAAACUCGGUUGGUAGAGAAGAAAGUUGGUGAGAGUGGAAAGCUCAUCAAGUGACGGUAACUACACAGAAAGGGACGGCUAACUACGUG
RNAcentral lists this ribosomal RNA (497 nucleotides) under uncultured bacterium. Its description in RNAcentral is "partial 16S ribosomal RNA". It matches the Rfam family "Bacterial small subunit ribosomal RNA", at positions 28 to 507 of the family's 1533-position model. The record is from RNAcentral.